RNAcentral lists this long non-coding RNA (991 nucleotides) under Struthio camelus australis. RNAcentral describes it as "lncRNA (ENSSCUG00000006585.1)". Lineage: Eukaryota; Metazoa; Chordata; Aves; Struthioniformes; Struthionidae. The record is from RNAcentral.
AAAGCUACCAGAGACCUGGUAGCUUGACCUUACUGACUGCUUGGUUAGCGCAUCAUCAUCGUUAGGGUCAGGAAAUAUGGAGCAACUCAAGCCUCAGCCAAGGUCAGGGGCCAGCUGCACCAGCCACCAUCCACAGGAGGAGACAGCACUGCCCUCAAGGGCUUGCUGGUGAAAUACCCCAAAAUACAAUGUUUGGUAGGAGAAAUCAUGAUGUGUCUGUUCAAGGGGUCCUGCAGCACAGGGGAUGUGCUCAUUUCACUAAUGCCACUGAAGCAACUAACUGCUCUGGGCCAGGGCUGACCCCAGUGUUUCCAAAGCCCAGUCCUUUGCUACAGCCCAGUACGUUUCAGACUGGCCAUCUAGCAGAAUCUGGACUUCAAUACUUCUGGCUCAGCAGGCAUAACUCACUGUAGGGCUAUGCAGAAAUCUGGAAUUUGGGCUCUUUGCUCAGGGAAGAAGGACAUAACUACAUUAACCAUCUGGUUUUGAAAGAGAUCCAGCUGCUACAGACAACUUCAGUGGAUGUGGAUGAAAAUGAUAAGAGCAUUCACUGAUGACAAAGGAUCACAUAUGGAUAUUUAGCCAGAAAAGGAGAAGAGUUAGAAGGGACUUGGCGCAAAUAUUUGGGGCAUGCACGAAAACAAUCAGUUCCUCUUUUUACCAUGUCUUGUCAGUACAUGGCAGGUAUUAAAUGGCAACGUAUGUGGAACAGAUAAUAAGAAGAUGGUUGUAUGCAGUAAUACUGUCAGCUUUUGAAAUAUACUGGCCCGGUUUCAGAAAGCCAAAGGGAAUGCUGUGGCUGGGCACAACAGCCACAGCAUGGAAGCCCAGAGGACAACCCAGGAAUUUCACUGGAAAACUGAGCCUUUUAGUGGAAUUUCACUGGAGACUCGAACUGAGCCUUUUCUACUUCACUGGUCAUUGCCUGUGGGGAGUUUCCAAAGAUAUUUUGCAUGCAGAAAAUCUUGAUAUCUUUCAACUGUACCAAUAA